AACGAACGCUGGCGGCAUGCCUAACACAUGCAAGUCGAACGAGACCGUCGGGUUUCGUUUGGCGCGUGUGCGUAACCGGUUGGAAACUGCCCUUGGGUUCGGCAUAUCAUUUGGAAACGACUGCUAAAACCGGAUGAUAACGUAAGUCCAAAUAUUGAUCGCCCAAGGAUGAGCCCGCGUAGGAUUAGCUCGUGGGUGAGGUAAAUGCGCAUCAAGGCGCGGAUCCUUAGCUGGUCUGAGAGGAUGAGCAGCCACACUGGGACGGAGACGCGGCCGAGAAUCGUACGGGAGGAGGAAGUGGGGAAUCUUGAAACGGGGGCGACGGGUAGAAGCAGCACGGCCGCGUGAGUGAUGAAGGUCUUAGGGUUGUAAAGCCCUCUUACACGGGAGGAUAAUGACGGUACCGGGAGAAUAAGCACCGGCUAACUACGUG
This 433-nucleotide ribosomal RNA is filed under the name uncultured bacterium. Its description in RNAcentral is "partial 16S ribosomal RNA". It matches the Rfam family "Bacterial small subunit ribosomal RNA", at positions 29 to 507 of the family's 1533-position model. The record is from RNAcentral.